This is a non-coding RNA of Microtus oregoni (creeping vole), 429 nucleotides long. The record is from the annotation of a RefSeq genome assembly. Lineage: Eukaryota; Metazoa; Chordata; Mammalia; Rodentia; Cricetidae.
AUGGAAUGGAACUGUAUCAUUCUUGUCCUUGUGUCAGUAACUACAGGUGUUCACUCCCAGGUACAGCUGCAACAGUCAGGGCCUGAACUGAGGAAACCUGGGACCUCAGUGAAGUUGUCCUGCAAGACUUCAGGCUUCACCUUCACUAGCAACUUUGUUAGCUGGGUGAAGCAGAGGCCUGGACAGGGCCUGGAGUGGAUUGGAUGGAUUUAUCCUGGAGAUGGUGACACUAAAUACAAUCAGAAAUUCCAGGGCAAGGCCAAACUGACCGCAGACAAAUCCUCCAGCACAGCCUACAUGGAGCUCAGCAGCCUGACAUCUGAAGACUCUGCAGUCUAUUACUGUUCUGAGAUCAUACAUUAUUCUCUGGUCCUGUUUUAUUUCUUUGUCCAUCUCAGAAACCUGCCCCACUGUCUGAAAUCUUUAUAG